RNAcentral lists this ribosomal RNA (497 nucleotides) under uncultured bacterium. RNAcentral describes it as "partial 16S ribosomal RNA". It matches the Rfam family "Bacterial small subunit ribosomal RNA", at positions 28 to 507 of the family's 1533-position model. The record is from RNAcentral.
GAUGAACGCUGGCGGCGUGCCUAACACAUGCAAGUCGAACGAACAGAUGAUGAGCUUGCUCCUCGGACGUUAGCGGCGCGCGUGUGAAUAACGCGUGUAUCACCUACCUAUCAGACUGGUAUAACUUCGGGAAUCCGGAGCUAAUAGCGGAUAAUCUCUUGAACCGCAUGGUUCAAUGGUAAAAGUCGGUGUUGCUGUCACUUAUAGAUGGUUCCGCGCCGUAUUAGAUAGUUGGUAAGGUAACGGCUUACCAAGGCAACGAUGCGUAGACGAACUGAGAGGGGGGUCGGCCACACUGGAAGUGAGCCACGGUCCAGACGCCUGCGGGAGGCAGCAGUAGGGAAUGGUCCGCAGUGGUGGAAAGCCUGACAGAACAACGGCGAGUGUGUGAUAGAGGCGUUCGGAUCGGAAUACUCUGUUAUGAGGGAAGAACCGAUGUGGAAGUAGCUGAGCACGUAUUGACGGUAACUGGUCAGAAAGCACCGGCUAACUACGUG